Telopea speciosissima is the source of this 105-nucleotide long non-coding RNA. RefSeq lists it as uncharacterized. Lineage: Eukaryota; Viridiplantae; Streptophyta; Magnoliopsida; Proteales; Proteaceae. The transcript is spliced from 3 exons. The record is from RefSeq and is a predicted model, not a curated record.
AUUUUGUUGCCCUUCUUCAGUUCGCUUUCAGCCAUGGGUGGAAAUGGAAGUCUGGUCAUCUUCUUACUGUGUUCGAUGUUUUUGCUUGGCAGAUUUCCAAGGUCU